CUCCUCUUUCGGGUAGACACAUGAUGUGCACCACUCAACACAUCUACUCUAUCUAACAUGCUGACGUUCAGAGCUCUUAUUACGAAUGACUUCCGUAAAUGCCACAGUAUUUAUGACAAAAGCAAGGUGCCCUGGGCUGACAUGGAUUCC
Long non-coding RNA from Lampris incognitus (smalleye Pacific opah), 150 nucleotides. RefSeq lists it as uncharacterized. The record is from RefSeq and is a predicted model, not a curated record. The transcript is spliced from 3 exons. Lineage: Eukaryota; Metazoa; Chordata; Actinopteri; Lampriformes; Lampridae.